AAUACCAUCCUGUUGUGACGGUACCGUAAGAGAAAGCCACGGCUAACUACGUGCCAGCAGCCGCGGUAAUACGUAGGUGGCAAGCGUUGUCCGGAAUUAUUGGGCGUAAAGGGUGCGCAGGCGGUCUCUUAAGUCUGUCUUAAAAGUGCGGGGCUCAACCCCGUGAGGGGACGGAAACUGGGAGACUGGAGUAUCGGAGAGGAAAGCAGAAUUCCUAGUGUAGCGGUGAAAUGCGUAGAUAUUAGGAGGAAUACCAGUGGCGAAAGCGGCUUUCUGGACGACAACUGACGCUGAGGCACGAAAGCCAGGGGAGCGAACGGGAUUAGAUACCCCGGUAGUCCUGGCCGUAAACGAUGGGUACUAGGUGUAGGAGGUAUCGACCCCUUCUGUGCCGGAGUUAACGCAAUAAGUACCCCGCCUGGGGAGUACGGCCGCAAGGCUGAAACUCAAAGGAAUUGACGGGGGCCCGCACAAGCGGUGGAGUAUGUGGUUUAAUUCGACGCAACGCGAAGAACCUUACCAAGCCUUGACAUUGAUCGCAAUGGAUAGAGAUAUCCAGUUCCUCUUCGGAGGACGAGAAAACAGGUGGUGCACGGCUGUCGUCAGCUCGUGUCGUGAGAUGUUGGGUUAAGUCCCGCAACGAGCGCAACCCCUAUCUUCUGUUACCAGCACGUGAUGGUGGGGACUCAGGAGAGACUGCCGCAGACAAUGCGGAGGAAGGCGGGGAUGACGUCAAGUCAUCAUGCCCCUUAUGGCUUGGGCUACACACGUACUACAAUGGCUCUUAAUAGAGGGAAGCGAAAGGGCGACCUGGAGCAAACCCCAAAAACAGAGUCCCAGUUCGGAUUGCAGGCUGCAACCCGCCUGCAUGAAGGAGGAAUCGCUAGUAAUCGCAGGUCAGCAUACUGCGGUGAAUACGUUCCCGGGCCUUGUACACACCGCCCGUCACACCACGAAAGUCAUUCACACCCGAAGCCGGUGAGGCAACCGCAAGGAACCAGCCGUCGAAGGUGGGGGCGAUGAUUGGGGUGAAGUCGUAACAAGGUAGCCGUAUCGGAAGGUGCGGCUGGAUCACCUCCUUUCUA
This 1085-nucleotide ribosomal RNA is filed under the name Megasphaera hexanoica. RNAcentral's name for it is "bacterial SSU rRNA". It matches the Rfam family "Bacterial small subunit ribosomal RNA", at positions 455 to 1533 of the family's 1533-position model. The record is from RNAcentral. Lineage: Bacteria; Bacillati; Bacillota; Negativicutes; Veillonellales; Veillonellaceae.